This 253-nucleotide ribosomal RNA is filed under the name uncultured bacterium. RNAcentral describes it as "partial 16S ribosomal RNA". It matches the Rfam family "Bacterial small subunit ribosomal RNA", at positions 524 to 776 of the family's 1533-position model. The record is from RNAcentral.
UACAGAGGGGGCAAGCGUUGUUCGGAAUUACUGGGCGUAAAGGGCGCGUAGGCGGCCCGCUAAGUCGAACGUGAAAUCCCCGGGCUCAACCCGGGAACUGCGUCCGAUACUGGCAGGCUUGAAUCCGGGAGAGGGAUGCGGAAUUCCAGGUGUAGCGGUGAAAUGCGUAGAUAUCUGGAGGAAUACCGAUGGCGAAGGCAGCCCCCUGGGGCAAUACUGACGCUCAUGCACGAAAGCGUGGGGAGCAAACAGG